This 238-nucleotide ribosomal RNA is filed under the name uncultured bacterium. RNAcentral's name for it is "partial 16S ribosomal RNA". It matches the Rfam family "Bacterial small subunit ribosomal RNA", at positions 118 to 354 of the family's 1533-position model. The record is from RNAcentral.
UGAGUAACCUGCCCUUGACUCUGGGAUAAGCGUUGGAAACGACGUCUAAUGCCGAAUACGACCUCCUUUCGCAUGAUCGGAGGUGGAAAGCUCCGGCGGAGAAGGAUGAGCUCGCGGCCUAUCAGCUAGUUGGUGUGGGUAAUGGCCCACCAAGGCGACGACGGGUAGCCGGCCUGAGAGGGUGACCGGCCACACUGGGACUGAGACACGGCCCAGACCUCCGUACGGGAGCAGCAGG